This 253-nucleotide ribosomal RNA is filed under the name uncultured bacterium. RNAcentral describes it as "partial 16S ribosomal RNA". It matches the Rfam family "Bacterial small subunit ribosomal RNA", at positions 524 to 776 of the family's 1533-position model. The record is from RNAcentral.
UACGAAGGGGGCUAGCGUUGCUCGGAAUCACUGGGCGUAAAGCGCACGUAGGCGGCUUUCUAAGUCAGGGGUGAAAUCCCGGAGCUCAACUCCGGAACUGCCUUUGAUACUGGAAAGCUUGAGUUCGGAAGAGGUGAGUGGAACUGCGAGUGUAGAGGUGAAAUUCGUAGAUAUUCGCAAGAACACCAGUGGCGAAGGCGGCUCACUGGCCCGAUACUGACGCUGAGGUGCGAAAGCGUGGGGAGCAAACAGG